This 301-nucleotide ribosomal RNA is filed under the name uncultured bacterium. RNAcentral describes it as "partial 16S ribosomal RNA". It matches the Rfam family "Bacterial small subunit ribosomal RNA", at positions 509 to 807 of the family's 1533-position model. The record is from RNAcentral.
CAGUAGCCGCGGGAAUACGGAGGGGGCUAGCGUUGUUCGGAAUUACUGGGCGUAAAGCGCACGUAGGCGGCUUGGUAAGUUAGAGGUGAAAGCCCGGAGCUCAACUCCGGAAUUGCCUUUAAGACUGCCGAGCUAGUAGGUGAGAGAGGUAAGUGGAAUUCCGAGUGUAGAGGUGAAAUUCGUAGAUAUUCGGAAGAACACCAGUAGCGAAGGCGGCUUACUGGCUCAUUCUAGACGCUGAGGUGCGAAAGCGUGGGGAGCAAACAGGAUUAGAGACCCCCGUAGUCCCUGUCUCUUAUAC